UGUUUAGCUCAGUUGGUAGAGCAACUGAUUUGUAAUCAGUAGGUCGGGAGUUCGAGUCUCUCAACA
Molecule: transfer RNA, 66 nt
Filed under: marine eukaryotic metagenome
Rfam family: tRNA
About the family: Transfer RNA (tRNA) molecules are approximately 80 nucleotides in length.
Source: RNAcentral